UGCAGUCGAACGCUUCUUUCCUCCCGAGUGCUUGCACUCAAUUGGAAAGAGGAGUGGCGGACGGGUGAGUAACACGUGGGUAACCUACCCAUCAGAGGGGGAUAACACUUGGAAACAGGUGCUAAUACCGCAUAACAGUUUAUGCCGCAUGGCAUAAGAGUGAAAGGCGCUUUCGGGUGUCGCUGAUGGAUGGACCCGCGGUGCAUUAGCUAGUUGGUGAGGUAACGGCUCACCAAGGCCACGAUGCAUAGCCGACCUGAGAGGGUGAUCGGCCACACUGGGACUGAGACACGGCCCAGACUCCUACGGGAGGCAGCAGUAGGGAAUCUUCGGCAAUGGACGAAAGUCUGACCGAGCAACGCCGCGUGAGUGAAGAAGGUUUUCGGAUCGUAAAACUCUGUUGUUAGAGAAGAACAAGGACGUUAGUAACUGAACGUCCCCUGACGGUAUCUAACCAGAAAGCCACGGCUAACUACGUGCCAGCAGCCGCGGUAAUACGUAGGUGGCAAGCGUUGUCCGGAUUUAUUGGGCGUAAAGCGAGCGCAGGCGGUUUCUUAAGUCUGAUGUGAAAGCCCCCGGCUCAACCGGGGAGGGUCAUUGGAAACUGGGAGACUUGAGUGCAGAAGAGGAGAGUGGAAUUCCAUGUGUAGCGGUGAAAUGCGUAGAUAUAUGGAGGAACACCAGUGGCGAA
Molecule: ribosomal RNA, 691 nt
Filed under: uncultured bacterium
Lineage: Bacteria
Description: bacterial SSU rRNA
Rfam family: Bacterial small subunit ribosomal RNA
Source: RNAcentral